RNAcentral lists this ribosomal RNA (476 nucleotides) under uncultured bacterium. RNAcentral's name for it is "SSU rRNA". It matches the Rfam family "Bacterial small subunit ribosomal RNA", at positions 26 to 518 of the family's 1533-position model. The record is from RNAcentral.
AGGACGAACGCUUGCGGCGUGCCUAAGAAAUGCAAGUCGAACGGGGGCUUCGGCCCUAGUGGCGAACGGUCGCGUAACACGUGGGCAACCUGCCCUGAAGCGGGGGAUAACAUUCCGAAAGGAGUGCUAAUACCGCAUGUGGACUGAUGAUGCAUGUUAUCAGUCUAAAGGAUUUAUCCACUUCAGGAUGGGCCCCGCGGCCUAUCAGCUAGUUGGUGGGGUAACGGCCUACCAAGGCUACGACGGGUAGCUGGUCUGAGAGGACGGCCAGCCGGAUUGGGACUGAGAUACGGCCCAGACUCCUACGGGGGGCAGCAGUCAGGAAUAUUGCGCAAUGGAGGAAACUCUGACGCAGCGACGCCGCGUGGGGGAUGAAGCUUCUCGGAGUGUAAACCCCUUUCGACCCGGAAGAAUGCCCGCAAGGGUAUGACGGUACGGGUAUAAGAAGCCCCGGCUAACUACGUGCCAGCAGCCGC